Molecule: ribosomal RNA, 385 nt
Filed under: uncultured bacterium
Lineage: Bacteria
Description: bacterial SSU rRNA
Rfam family: Bacterial small subunit ribosomal RNA
Source: RNAcentral
AUUGAACGCUGGCGGCAUGCCUUACACAUGCAAGUCGAACGGUAACGGGCCUUCGGGUGCCGACGAGUGGCGAACGGGUGAGUAAUGCAUCGGAACGUACCUUUCAGUGGGGGAUAACGUAGCGAAAGUUACGCUAAUACCGCAUAUUCUGUGAGCAGGAAAGCAGGGGAUCGCAAGACCUUGCGCUGAUUGAGCGGCCGAUGUCAGAUUAGCUAGUUGGUGAGGUAAAGGCUCACCAAGGCGACGAUCCGUAGCGGGUCUGAGAGGAUGAUCCGCCACACUGGAACUGAGACACGGUCCAGACUCCUACGGGAGGCAGCAGUGGGGAAUUUUGGACAAUGGGCGCAAGCCUGAUCCAGCCAUGCCGCGUGAGUGAAGAAGGCCU